UUAUGCCUACGGGACGCAGCAGUGGGGGAUAUUGCACAAUGGGGGAAACCCUGAUGCAGCGACGCCGCGUGAGUGAAGAAGUAUUUCGGUACGUAAAGCUCUAUCAGCAGGGAAGAAUAAUGACGGUACCUGACUAAGAAGCCCCGGCUAACUACGUGCCAGCAGCCGCGGUAAUACGUAGGGGGCAAGCGUUAUCCGGAUUUACUGGGUGUAAAGGAAGCGUAGACGGCUGUGCAAGUCUGAAGUGAAAUGCCAGGGCUCAACCC
Molecule: ribosomal RNA, 266 nt
Filed under: uncultured bacterium
Lineage: Bacteria
Description: partial 16S ribosomal RNA
Rfam family: Bacterial small subunit ribosomal RNA
Source: RNAcentral